This 925-nucleotide ribosomal RNA is filed under the name uncultured Gammaproteobacteria bacterium. Its description in RNAcentral is "bacterial SSU rRNA". It matches the Rfam family "Bacterial small subunit ribosomal RNA", at positions 61 to 969 of the family's 1533-position model. The record is from RNAcentral. Lineage: Bacteria; Pseudomonadati; Pseudomonadota; Gammaproteobacteria.
GUCGAACGAGAAAGGGAUCCUUCGGGAACCUGAGUAAAGUGGCGAACGGGUGAGUAACACGUGGGUGACCUGCCCUCUGGAGGGGGAUAACCCGAGGAAACUCGGGCUAAGACCGCAUAAGCCUUCGAGGUCAAAUUCAAAGGGAAAAGGAUUUAGCUUUCGAGCUAGAUCCUACCGGAGGAGGGGCCCGCGUCCCAUUAGCUAGUUGGUGGGGUAAAAGCCUACCAAGGCUACGAUGGGUAGCCGGUCUGAGAGGACGGACGGCCACACUGGAACUGAGACACGGUCCAGACUCCUGCGGGAGGCAGCAGUGGGGAAUAUUGCACAAUGGGGGAAACCCUGAUGCAGCCAUGCCGCGUGUGUGAAGAAGGCCUUCGGGUUGUAAAGCUCUUUCAGUUGUGAGGAAAAGUUAGUAGUUAAUACCUGCUAGCCGUGACGUUAACAACAGAAGAAGCACCGGCUAACUCCGUGCCAGCAGCCGCGGUAAUACAGAGGGUGCGAGCGUUAAUCGGAAUUACUGGGCGUAAAGCGCACGCAGGCGGUUUGUUAAGCUAGAUGUGAAAGCCCCGGGCUCAACCUGGGAUGGUCAUUUAGAACUGGCAGACUAGAGUCUUGGAGAGGGGAGUGGAAUUCCAGGUGUAGCGGUGAAAUGCGUAGAUAUCUGGAGGAACAUCAGUGGCGAAGGCGACUCCCUGGCCAAAGACUGACGCUCAUGUGCGAAAGUGUGGGUAGCGAACAGGAUUAGAUACCCUGGUAGUCCACACCGUAAACGCUGUCUACUAGCUGUGUGUGCCUUUAAGGCGUGCGUAGCGAAGCUAACGCGCUAAGUAGACCGCCUGGGGAGUACGGCCGCAGGUUAAACUCAAUGAAUUGACGGGGGCCCGCACAAGCGUGAGCAUGUGUUUAUUCGAUGCACGCGAGAGCU